This 233-nucleotide ribosomal RNA is filed under the name uncultured bacterium. RNAcentral's name for it is "partial 16S ribosomal RNA". It matches the Rfam family "Bacterial small subunit ribosomal RNA", at positions 118 to 347 of the family's 1533-position model. The record is from RNAcentral.
UGAGCAAUCUGCCCUUCUCAUCGGAAUAAGCGUUGGAAACGACGUCUAAUGCCGAAUACGACCUCCUUUCGCAUGAUCGGAGGUGGAAAGCUCCGGCGGAGAAGGAUGAGCUCGCGGCCUGUCAGCUAGUUGGUGUGGGUAAUGGCCCACCAAGGCGACGACGGGUAGCCGGCCUGAGAGGGUGACCGGCCACACUGGGACUGAGACACGGCCCAGACCUCCUACGGGAGCAG